Molecule: transfer RNA, 67 nt
Filed under: Marmota monax (woodchuck)
Lineage: Eukaryota; Metazoa; Chordata; Mammalia; Rodentia; Sciuridae
Description: tRNA.Ala
Source: RNAcentral
GGUUGUGGCUCAGUGGCAGAGCGCUUGCCUAGCAUGUGCGAGGCACUGGGUUUGAUUCUCAGCACCA